GUGAGGGAUAUUGGUCAAUGGGGGGAACCCUGAACCAGCCAUGCCGCGUGAGGGAAUAAGGCCCUACGGGUCGUAAACCUCUUUUGCCGGGGGAUAAGGACGCCCACGUGUGGGUGUUUGAAGGUACCCGGAGAAUAAGCAUCGGCUAACUCCGUGCCAGCAGCCGCGGUAAUACGGAGGAUGCGAGCGUUAUCCGGAUUUAUUGGGUUUAAAGGGUGCGCAGGCGGGGUGUUAAGUCAGCGGUGAAAGUUCCCGGCUCAACCGGGUCAGUGCCGUUGAUACUGGCAGUCUUGAAUGCGGUCAAGGCCGGCGGAAUGUGGCGUGUAGCGGUGAAAUGCAUAGAUAUGCCACAGAACACCGAUAGCGAAGGCAGCUGGCCGGGCCUGCAUUGACGCUCAGGCACGAAAGCGUGGGGAUCGAACAGG
This 425-nucleotide ribosomal RNA is filed under the name uncultured rumen bacterium. RNAcentral's name for it is "bacterial SSU rRNA". It matches the Rfam family "Bacterial small subunit ribosomal RNA", at positions 354 to 776 of the family's 1533-position model. The record is from RNAcentral.